GCCAUUUUGACAGUUGCCGACCCAAUUGAGAGCUCAGCUCUCAAUGGGGUCGGCUCGGCUCGGCACCUGUCAGACCAAUACAUUUCUUCAUUGUAGCAAACAAAUGGAAAAUAAGUUUGGCAAAAGAGCUGUAUGGCAAUUUAUAUUUUUGUUGUCAACAUCAAUCAAUUGUCAAACCAAAAUAAAUAAAAUCAUUACACCUAACCUACGAUUAAUGUAAAGUAAAUUUUGAUUUGAUUUGUGAUAUUAAUGAAUUACAUUUAUUAUUAUAUUUAUGAUGUAACAUAAUUACAGUAUAUUGUGUAAAUAAAACAGCAAAUUAUUAAGUUCUGUGACCCUUUAAUUUAAAGGAUUAUUAUAAUUUAAGGGACUGAGCAGAUUUAAACCGAAGCACAAGAGCUUCUGACUGUGUUAUUUAAUAUCUUUUCGUGCUGAUCAGGUUUAUGAAUUACCACAUUUUUAUUUCUACAGUUAGAAUGGAAGAUAAUUAUUCGCAUGAUAGUUGUGCGAUUGUCUAUGUAACCGAGAGCAUACCAGGACCUGCGGAAACAAAUGCUGAAUCUAUAGAACUGAUAAAUAAUUUUAAUUCUCAACUGUCAGAUCACUGCAACUGUAUUUCUAUUUGUGACCCCCAGAAAUGUCAGUGUUUGCUGAAAUGUAGUGGUUUUACAUAUGGUAAUGGUCGGCUAAUGAAUCUUGAUGAAAUUUCCAACCAGUCAUUUCCACUUAAUGAAUGCAACAACCAUUGCAAUUGCUCAUAUGACUGUAAAAAUAGAAUUGUGCAAAAGGGUCCAAUGAACGGUUUAUAUGUAAAGAAUUGUUCUGAGUUUAAAGGUUUAGGUCUUUACACUAGUGUUUUUAUUCCUAAGGGUAUGUUUAUAUGUGAAUAUGCUGGAGAGAUCAUCACUCAAUCUCAAGCUGUAUCGAGAUAUAAAAGAAAUGAAGUGGAAAAAAAAAUGAACUACAUAUUUUGUUUGCAAGAAUUCAGUAAUGGGAGUGUCACAAAAACAUUUGUUGAUCCUUCUUACAUGGGAAAUAUUGGUGGUGCACAAAGUUCAUGGAAAGUAAACAGCUUGAAGAAGUGUUUUUGUAGGAGUGAAAAUUGUACAGGUUGGUUACCAUUUGAUACAUCAAAUCAAUGUUAAAAAGGUUUUGAUUUUAUAAGUUGACUACAGCAAAAUGUUGCUUUUGUAAGCAAAUCAAUAAAUAUCUGCUUUUAUCUUUUUGAAAAUAAUUUUAUUGAAUAAACUAUAAGACAAUAGGUAUUAUUAGCAACAUGCUUCAUGAAAUACCUGCAAAAAAUCAUCAGCAACAUAUUCACAUGUUUUGUUAAAAUUGCACAUAUAAAUAUCCACAAAAAGCCUAAAUUUUAUUGGAAAAGUAAAAUAACUGGAUCAAUAAUGUAAAAAAAUUUUUGGUUUAUUAAUAAAACUUGCUAUUUUGCAAGCUGUCUUUCAUUGCAAUACUUCCUAGAGAAUCUAGCUUCAGUUUGAACCCAAGCCAAGGUAACAUCUUGAUGUGAGGAUGCUUGUCUGCAGUAGUUUGGAGAGCUCACUGGCUGAAUUCUCUUCAGUCAAACCAACUGACUUUGUCCAUGUGGCUGAACCUUCCAUUAAGAUGUCAUUUCUAUAGACAGACUACUAUCAUGAUCCUGAAUCAGAUCUUAUGGUGUUUCAGAUCUUUGAUUUUAAACCAUCAUAGCUCUGCACGUAAUUUAAUUCCAACGUGGACGAACCCUACCCUAUGACAUAAGUAUCAUGACAGUCAGAUGGUAAAAAAAACAAUGUUGAAAAAUAUAACAUUUAUUUGUGUAGCCAUCACAUAGUAACAAAAAAAAUAGGGAUAAAUUUCUUCGCUGUUUAGAUUUAAGACUACACAAAAUACUACAUUAUCAAAAUGUAGAUUCAAAAUUAUAAGAUACAAAGAUAACAAAAAUAUAAGUGACUUCAAAAAGACCAUUCCUUAAUUAUUCACGCUCUCAAUUUCACAUCAAUAUGAUGGCACUACUAUCAUAAAGCACCCUGCACAGUCACUGUUAUGUUUACUUAUAAUAAAUGCCAACCAAGCAGUCACUUUGGACAGCACAUUGACUUGUUGUUUGUGGAUAUGAUACUAUAAUGAUGAA
Molecule: RNA transcript, 2125 nt
Organism: Amyelois transitella
Lineage: Eukaryota; Metazoa; Arthropoda; Insecta; Lepidoptera; Pyralidae
Exons: 2
Source: RefSeq, a predicted model, not a curated record